Molecule: transfer RNA, 82 nt
Filed under: Lepisosteus oculatus (spotted gar)
Lineage: Eukaryota; Metazoa; Chordata; Actinopteri; Semionotiformes; Lepisosteidae
Rfam family: tRNA
About the family: Transfer RNA (tRNA) molecules are approximately 80 nucleotides in length. Their secondary structure includes four short double-helical elements and three loops (D, anti-codon, and T loops).
Source: Rfam by way of RNAcentral
GUAGUCGUGGCCGAGUGGUUAAGGCGAUGGCCUUGAAAUCCACUGGGGUCUUCCCGUGCAGAUUUGAAUCCUGCUGACUACG